This 465-nucleotide ribosomal RNA is filed under the name Vreelandella stevensii. Its description in RNAcentral is "partial 16S ribosomal RNA". It matches the Rfam family "Bacterial small subunit ribosomal RNA", at positions 338 to 795 of the family's 1533-position model. The record is from RNAcentral. Lineage: Bacteria; Pseudomonadati; Pseudomonadota; Gammaproteobacteria; Oceanospirillales; Halomonadaceae.
CCUACGGGCGGCUGCAGUGGGGAAUAUUGGACAAUGGGGGCAACCCUGAUCCAGCCAUGCCGCGUGUGUGAAGAAGGCCCUCGGGUUGUAAAGCACUUUCAGUGAGGAAGAACGCCUGGUGGUUAAUACCCAUCAGGAAAGACAUCACUCACAGAAGAAGCACCGGCUAACUCCGUGCCAGCAGCCGCGAUAAUACGGAGGGUGCGAGCGUUAAUCGGAAUUACUGGGCGUAAAGCGCGCGUAGGUGGCUUGAUAAGCCGGUUGUGAAAGCCCCGGGCUCAACCUGGGAACGGCAUCCGGAACUGUCAAGCUAGAGUGCAGGAGAGGAAGGUAGAAUUCCCGGUGUAGCGGUGAAAUGCGUAGAGAUCGGGAGGAAUACCAGUGGCGAAGGCGGCCUUCUGGACUGACACUGACACUGAGGUGCGAAAGCGUGGGUAGCAAACAGGAUUAGAUACCCUUGUAGUC